Molecule: non-coding RNA, 74 nt
Organism: Culex pipiens (northern house mosquito)
Lineage: Eukaryota; Metazoa; Arthropoda; Insecta; Diptera; Culicidae
Source: Rfam
AGCUCCGUGGCUUAAUGGUUACGGCUUCUGCCUCACAAGCAGAAGGUUCAGGGAUCAAAUCCCGGUCGGUACCU